UCCGGGGUAGCUCAGUUGGCAGAGCAACGGACUGUUAAUCCGUUUGUCGAGGGUUCGAGCCCCUCCCCCGGAG
This 73-nucleotide transfer RNA is filed under the name bacterium. RNAcentral describes it as "tRNA-Asn". It matches the Rfam family "tRNA". Rfam says of the family: Transfer RNA (tRNA) molecules are approximately 80 nucleotides in length. RNAcentral also lists the same sequence under 2 other names. The record is from RNAcentral.